GAUGAACGCUGGCGGCGUGCCUAAUACAUGCAAGUCGAGCGAACGGACGAGAAGCUUGCUUCUCUGAUGUUAGCGGCGGACGGGUGAGUAACACGUGGAUAACCUACCUAUAAGACUGGGAUAACUUCGGGAAACCGGAGCUAAUACCGGAUGAUAUUUUGAACCGCAUGGUUCAAAAGUGAAAGACGGUCUUGCUGUCACUUAUAGAUGGAUCCGCGCUGCAUUAGCUAGUUGGUAAGGUAACGGCUUACCAAGGCAACGAUGCAUAGCCGACCUGAGAGGGUGAUCGGCCACACUGGAACUGAGACACGGUCCAGACUCCUACGGGAGGCAGCAGUAGGGAAUCUUCCGCAAUGGGCGAAAGCCUGACGGAGCAACGCCGCGUGAGUGAUGAAGGUCUUCGGAUCGUAAAACUCUGUUAUUAGGGAAGAACAUAUGUGUAAGUAACUGUGCACAUCUUGACGGUACCUAAUCAGAAAGCCACGGCUAACUACGUGCCAGCAGCCGCGGUAAUACGUAGGUGGCAAGCGUUAUCCGGAAUUAUUGGGCGUAAAGCGCGCGUAGGCGGUUUUUUAAGUCUGAUGUGAAAGCCCACGGCUCAACCGUGGAGGGUCAUUGGAAACUGGAAAACUUGAGUGCAGAAGAGGAAAGUGGAAUUCCAUGUGUAGCGGUGAAAUGCGCAGAGAUAUGGAGGAACACCAGUGGCGAAGGCGACUUUCUGGUCUGUAACUGACGCUGAUGUGCGAAAGCGUGGGGAUCAAACAGGAUUAGAUACCCUGGUAGUCCACGCCGUAAACGAUGAGUGCUAAGUGUUAGGGGGUUUCCGCCCCUUAGUGCUGCAGCUAACGCAUUAAGCACUCCGCCUGGGGAGUACGACCGCAAGGUUGAAACUCAAAGGAAUUGACGGGGACCCGCACAAGCGGUGGAGCAUGUGGUUUAAUUCGAAGCAACGCGAAGAACCUUACCAAAUCUUGACAUCCUUUGACAACUCUAGAGAUAGAGCCUUCCCCUUCGGGGGGGACAAAGUGACAGGUGGUGCAUGGUUGUCGUCAGCUCGUGUCAUGAGAUGUUGGGUUAAGUCCCGCAACGAGCGCAACCCUUAAGCUUAGUUGCCAUCAUUAAGUUGGGCACUCUAAGUUGACUGCCGGUGACAAACCGGAGGAAGGUGGGGAUGACGUCAAAUCAUCAUGCCCCUUAUGAUUUGGGCUACACACGUGCUACAAUGGACAAUACAAAGGGCAGCGAAACCGCGAGGUCAAGCAAAUCCCAUAAAGUUGUUCUCAGUUCGGAUUGUAGUCUGCAACUCGACUACAUGAAGCUGGAAUCGCUAGUAAUCGUAGAUCAGCAUGCUACGGUGAAUACGUUCCCGGGUCU
Molecule: ribosomal RNA, 1374 nt
Filed under: uncultured bacterium
Lineage: Bacteria
Description: bacterial SSU rRNA
Rfam family: Bacterial small subunit ribosomal RNA
Source: RNAcentral